Molecule: RNA transcript, 977 nt
Organism: Homalodisca vitripennis (glassy-winged sharpshooter)
Lineage: Eukaryota; Metazoa; Arthropoda; Insecta; Hemiptera; Cicadellidae
Exons: 2
Source: RefSeq, a predicted model, not a curated record
UUGUACUCAUAUACGCUCUGUUUUUUGUCUGUGCAAUUAAGCUUAAAUUAGUCUUCAAAUGAAGUAUAACAUGCAGUUAAAACAUUCUACAUCCUAUGGAUACUUAAUACAUUAGAAAAAUGAUUUUUUAAAUGUAAAAUUUACAUUUAAGAAGACUUAUGCAACAUCGAAUUUUUAGCUUCCUACUUUUUGUCUUUCAUUUUUCACAUGCAAAAGCUUUAAAUCACUUUUUCUAACGGAAAAACUUAAUUUUGAUUACUGCUGUCGAAAAGUCAUUAUCAUUAAAUUGCCUUUAAGUAAUGUAUUCCUUUAUAGUACAUAAUAAUAAGCCAACAAGUAUACAAAUCGUCAAGGUUAAAUGUACUACUUCUAAAUACAAACUGACUGGUACCAAAACAUUACUGACCAAAACUGGAAUCAUCUAGUGUUAUCACAAACUCAAUUAAGAUUGUGUUUAGUUAUUGUUUUUUGUAAUUUAAAUAACAUAUAACUAAUAGAAUUAUUAAUUUCCUGUAUUUAUAACAUGUUUUUGCGAUAAAUGUAUAUAGAAAGUGCUUCUUGACAGUCGUAAUUACGGAUUAAUAAAAUGUUAUCUAAACUACAGUAAAAGACUUCACAUCGUUACAUACUGUUAUCGUUGGCUUUGGCCUCUGAUUGGAUAAUUAAUAUGACGUGAUCCACUGGCCAACAGUAUAUAUACCAUUGCUCUGUCCGUUACAGUAUUAGAUAUUUCCCCAGCGAAACAUCCGACUCUUAUUAACAUGGGCAAGGAAAGGACCAGCGUCAACAUGGCCGUCGUCGGCUACUACUAGACCUACCAUCAGAUGGACGGCUAGUACAAACACGUACAUGACCCGGCUUCUGUACACGGACACGCUCUGGACACGGACAACACGAUUCUAGAUACCUCAACCUGAUUGGCUAUUUUUACGUAGGCCUACUACAAUUAAAUAAAACAAAAUUUUUCCGCUUUUAUA